UCCGCGAGUGGCGGGGUGUUUACUGGGCUUAAAGCGCCCGUAGCCGGCCCGGCAAGUCGCUCCUGAAAUCCCAGGGCUCAACCCUGGGGCGGGGGGCGAUACUGCCGGGCUAGGGGGCGGAAGAGGCCGCCGGUACUCCGGGGGUAGGGGCGAAAUCCGUUAAUCCCCGGAGGACCACCAGUGGCGAAAGCGGGCGGCCAGAACGCGCCCGACGGUGAGGGGCGAAAGCCGGGGGAGCAAACCGGGCUCAGGUCGGCGUUGCGCAGACAAUCUAAUCAUCCAGUCCCACCACGCGCGUCAACCCCCUCAUCUUCAAGCCGACCUGGCCCGGGCUCAAAGGGGAUUAGAUACCCCUGUAGUCC
RNAcentral lists this ribosomal RNA (362 nucleotides) under uncultured prokaryote. RNAcentral's name for it is "bacterial SSU rRNA". It matches the Rfam family "Archaeal small subunit ribosomal RNA", at positions 481 to 747 of the family's 1478-position model. The record is from RNAcentral.